UACAGAGGGUGCAAGCGUUAAUCGGAUUUACUGGGCGUAAAGGGCGCGUAGGCGGAUACUUAAGUCGGAUGUGAAAUCCCUGGGCUUAACCUAGGAACUGCAUUCGAUACUGGGUGUCUAGAGUAUGGGAGAGGAAAGCGGAAUUCCCGGUGUAGCAGUGAAAUGCGUAGAUAUCGGGAAGAACAUCAGGGCGAAGGCGGCUUUCUGGCCCAAUACUGACGCUGAGGCGCGAAAGCGUGGGGAGCAAACAGG
This 252-nucleotide ribosomal RNA is filed under the name uncultured bacterium. Its description in RNAcentral is "partial 16S ribosomal RNA". It matches the Rfam family "Bacterial small subunit ribosomal RNA", at positions 524 to 776 of the family's 1533-position model. The record is from RNAcentral.